GGAAUAUUGGUCAAUGGACGAAAGUCUGAACCAGCCAUGCCGCGUGAAGGAUGAAGGUCCUCUGGAUUGUAAACCUCUUUUAUAUGGGACGAAAAAAGGGUUUUCUAACUCAACUGACGGUACCAUAUGAAUAAGCACCGGCUAACUCCGUGCCAGCAGCCGCGGUAAUACGGAGGGUGCAAGCGUUAUCCGGAUUCACUGGGUUUAAAGGGUGCGUAGGUGGGUUGGUAAGUCAGUGGUGAAAUCCCCGAGCUUAACUCGGGAACUGCCAUUGAUACUAUCAGUCUUGAAUACCGUGGAGGUCAGCAGAAUAUGUCAUGUAGCGGUGAAAUGCUUAGAUAUGACAUAGAAUACCAAUUGCGAAGGCAGCUGGCUACCCGAAUAUUGACACUGAGGCACGAAAGCGUGGGGAUCAAACAGGAUUAGAUACCCUGGUAGUCCACGCCCUAAACUAUGGAUACUCGACAUACGCGAUACACUGUGUGUGUCUGAGCGAAAGCAUUAAGUAUCCCACCUGGGAAGUACGACCGCAAGGUUGAAACUCAAAGGAAUUGACGG
Molecule: ribosomal RNA, 558 nt
Filed under: uncultured bacterium
Lineage: Bacteria
Description: bacterial SSU rRNA
Rfam family: Bacterial small subunit ribosomal RNA
Source: RNAcentral